UACGGAGGGUGCAAGCGUUAUCCGGAAUCACUGGGUUUAAAGGGUGCGUAGGUGGCUUGGUAAGUCAGAGGUGAAAGCCCAUCGCUUAACGACGGAAUUGCCUUUGAUACUGCCGAGCUUGAAUUAGGUUGAGGUAGGCGGAAUGUGGCAUGUAGCGGUGAAAUGCAUAGAUAUGCCAUAGAACACCAAUUGCGUAGGCAGCUUACUAGACCUAUAUUGACGCUGAGGCACGAAAGCGUGGGGAUCAAACAGG
RNAcentral lists this ribosomal RNA (253 nucleotides) under uncultured bacterium. RNAcentral describes it as "partial 16S ribosomal RNA". It matches the Rfam family "Bacterial small subunit ribosomal RNA", at positions 524 to 776 of the family's 1533-position model. The record is from RNAcentral.